RNAcentral lists this ribosomal RNA (468 nucleotides) under uncultured bacterium. RNAcentral describes it as "partial 16S ribosomal RNA". It matches the Rfam family "Bacterial small subunit ribosomal RNA", at positions 28 to 507 of the family's 1533-position model. The record is from RNAcentral.
GACGAACGCUGGCGGCGUGCUUAACACAUGCAAGUCGAACGGAAAGGCCCUGCUUUGGUGGGGUGCUCGAGUGGCGAACGGGUGAGUAACACGUGAGUAACCUGCCCUUGACUUAGGGAUAACUUCAGGAAACUGGGGCUAAUACCGGAUAGGAGCUCCUGCUGCAUGGUGGGGGUGGGAAAGUUUCGGCGGUUGGGGAUGGACUCGCGGCUUAUCAGCUUGUUGGUGGGGUGGUGGCAUAGCAAGGCUUUGAAGGGUAGCAGGGCUGGGAGGGGGACCGGACCCACUAGGACUGGGAUACGGCACAGACUCCUACGGGAGGCAGGGGAGGGGAGGGGUGUACAAGGGGCUGAAGGCUGAUGUAGCAACGCCGCGUGCGGGAAGUCGGGCAGGGGGUUGGAUUCCGCUUCCGCCUGUGACGAAGCGAGAGUGACGGUACUGGGUAAAGAAGCACCGGCUAACUACGUG